UACGUAGGGUGCGAGCGUUUAAUCGGAAUUACUGGGCGUAAAGCGUGCGCAGGCGGUUUUGUAAGUCAGAUGUGAAAUCCCCGGGCUCAACCUGGGAACAUGCGUUUGAAACUUACAAGGCUAGAGUGUAGCAGAGGGGGUAGAAUUCCACGGUGUAGCAGUGAAAUGCGUAGAGAUGAUGGAGGAAUACCAAUGGCGAAGGCAGGCCC
Molecule: ribosomal RNA, 209 nt
Filed under: uncultured bacterium
Lineage: Bacteria
Description: partial 16S ribosomal RNA
Rfam family: Bacterial small subunit ribosomal RNA
Source: RNAcentral